Molecule: ribosomal RNA, 1343 nt
Filed under: uncultured bacterium
Lineage: Bacteria
Description: bacterial SSU rRNA
Rfam family: Bacterial small subunit ribosomal RNA
Source: RNAcentral
GAACGAACGCUGGCGGCGCGUUUUAAGCAUGCAAGUCGAGCGGUAACUAUCCUUCGGGAUAGCUAGAGCGGCGAACGGGUGAGUAACACGUAGGUAAUCUGCCGUACGAUUGGGGAUAGCCCAUGGAAACAUGGGGUAAUACCGAAUACGACCUUCGGGGGAAAGGCGCUUCGGCGCCGUCGUACGAUGAGCCUGCGUCGCAUUAGUUAGUUGGCGGGGUAAAAGCCCACCAAGGCGACGAUGCGUAGCCGACCUGAGAGGGUGAUCGGCCACACUGGGACUGAGAUACGGCCCAGACUCCUACGGGAGGCAGCAGCUAAGAAUCUUCCGCAAUGGACGAAAGUCUGACGGAGCGACGCCGCGUGGGCGAGGAAGGCCGAAAGGUUGUAAAGCCCUUUUCUGCGUGAGGAAUAAGAACCGGAGGCAAUGCCGGUUUGAUGACGGUAGCGCAGGAAUAAGCCCCGGCCAAUUACGUGCCAGCAGCCGCGGUAACACGUAUGGGGCGAGCGUUGUUCGGAAUUAUUGGGCGUAAAGGGCGCGCAGGCGGUUAUACAAGCUUGGUGUGAAAGACCACGGCUCAACGGUGGAAACGCGCUGAGAACUGUAUGACUUGAGUUUUAGAGGGGGAGUUGGAAUUCCAGGUGUAGGGGUGAAAUCUGUAGAUAUCUGGAAGAACAUCAGUGGCGAAAGGCGAGCUCCUGGCUAUGAACUGACGCUGAGGCGCGAAAGCGUGGGGAGCGAACAGGAUUAGAUACCCUGGUAGUCCACGCCGUAAACGAUGUGCACUAGGUGUUGGGCUUUCGAAGGCUCAGUGCCGCAAGUUAACACGUUAAGUGCACCGCCUGGGGAGUAUGCCCGCAAGGGUGAAACUCAAAGGAAUUGACGGGGGCCCGCACAAGCAGCGGAGCGUGUGGUUUAAUUCGACAACGCGAAGAACCUUACCCAGAUUUGACAUGCGACUGCAAGCGCACGGAAACGUGUGACCUGCGAGGGUGUCGCACAGGUGCUGCAUGGCUGUCGUCAGCUCGUGUCGUGAGAUGUUGGGUUAAGUCCCGCAACGAGCGCAACCCCCGCCGUCAGUUAUACGUGUCUGGCGGGACUGCCGGCUGUUUGGUCGGAGGAAGGCGGGGAUGACGUCAAGUCCGCAUGGCCCGUACGUCUGGGGCGACACACACGCUACAAUGGCCGGCACAGCACGCCGCAAACCCGCAAGGGGGAGCUAAUCGCCAACGCCGGUCCCAGUGCAGAUCGGGGGCUGCAACUCGCCCCCGUGAAGGCGGAGUUGCUAGUAACCGCGUAUCAGCCAUGGCGCGGUGAAUACGUACCCGGGCCUUGUACUCACC